Molecule: ribosomal RNA, 803 nt
Filed under: uncultured bacterium
Lineage: Bacteria
Description: bacterial SSU rRNA
Rfam family: Bacterial small subunit ribosomal RNA
Source: RNAcentral
GGGAUGUUCCUUUGGGGAAUGUGUACCUGGCGCACGGGUGAGUAAUAUAUAAGUAACCUGCCCUUUAGUUUGGAAUAACCUCGAGAAAUUGGGGCUAAUACCGAAUGUUAAAGAACUACCGCAUGGUAGAACUUUUAAAGUUGCUUUUGCAACGCUAAGGGAUGGGCUUGUAUCCAAUUAGCUAGUUGGUGAGGUAAUGGCUUACCAAGGCGACGAUUGGUAACUGGUCUGAGAGGAUGAUCAGUCACACUGGAACUGAGACACGGUCCAGACUCCUACGGGAGGCAGCAGUGAGGAAUAUUGGGCAAUGGACGCAAGUCUGACCCAGCAACGCCGCGUGGAGGAUGAAGGCCGUAAGGUUGUAAACUCCUUUUAGGAGAGAUGAAUAACUGCGAUUAGCAAUGGUCGCAGCCUGACCGUAUCUCCUGAAUAAGCCCCGGCUAACUACGUGCCAGCAGCCGCGGUAAUACGUAGGGGGCAAGCGUUGUCCGGAUUUACUGGGUGUAAAGGGCGCGUAGGCGGGUUGGUAAGUCAGUGGUGAAAUCUCACAGCUUAACUGUGAAACUGCCUCUGAUACUGCCAAUCUUGAGUUCAGAAGAGAGAGAUGGAAUUCCAGGUGUAGUGGUGAAAUACGUAGAUAUCUGGAAGAACACCAGUGGCGAAGGCGAUCUCUUGGUCUGUAACUGACGCUGAGGCGCGAAAGCGUGGGUAGCGAACAGGAUUAGAUACCCUGGUAGUCCACGCUGUAAACGAUGAAUACUAGGUGUUGGGUAAUAACUCAGUGCCGCAGCUAACGCAUUAAG